Molecule: long non-coding RNA, 4466 nt
Filed under: Triticum aestivum (bread wheat)
Lineage: Eukaryota; Viridiplantae; Streptophyta; Magnoliopsida; Poales; Poaceae
Description: long non-coding RNA (TAES_LNC007651)
Source: RNAcentral
CACAGCUCUAACACCAACAGAGAGCUACGAAUAAACCAAGCAGCUGUGAAGUCGAAGCUACAGUGGCAGGGCCUGGUGGCAUAUGCUGACGAGUAGGUGGUCCGUUCGGUGAUCUUCCUCAACACGUAGUAUGACUUCAGUGCACAUGACACAGUAUAUGCCCCCCUGGAGACCGACAACUGAACAACAGUUCCACAAGCAUGAGCACACUUGAAUUCAGGUGAGAGUGUGACCACUCCCAUUCCUGUCACGUAGAAAGAAGAAAACUCCCGUUUCGUACAGAAAUUCCAUGAGAAGCAAACUGGCGCCACGUCGUAUUAUUUGUAUUCUUCGUUCUACGAAUCAACAAAACCAGAUCACGACUCGGACACGAUUCACAUGGAGCACCUAUCUCACGCUUUUUCGACGUGGUAGCCAGGUUGCCUCUCUUCCUCAUCACUUAUUUAAGACGCCCGUCUGGGUUAAAAAAUCGUGACCGAACAAUGACCGGCGGUAUGUAAGGCCUUCCACAGCGUAGCCGGUGCCAAAUACAUCAAAAGGCAGCCACCUCAUCACCGGUGCCCAAAAUUGCUUUUCAGGCAUCGAUCUCACAACGUAGGGCUUCGGCAGGAAAAAGAUUUUGGGACCCAUAUGAUAAACAAGUACACCACGCUGCUGUGUAUUGAGCAAAGAGAGAAGACAUUUGCUGUUCAAAGUUGAGAGUUAAUAGUAUUUUAUUGGCUGGAGGAAUUGGGCAUCGUGUUCUUACUUGCUCCGAUGCCAUGAAAAUUUUGUUGGGGCACCGGCCUCACAACAUGAGGGCACCGGCUAUCGGAGCCAGAAGUUAAUUUGGCACCUCUUUUGGCCUACAUAAUGGAAGGUCUAAGAGGUGGGUUUGAGAGAUCGGUUGUAGAUGCUCUUAAUAAGCUAGUACUAGAAGAAGAACAUGUAUAGGGGAGGAAGGGGACAUAAGUGAAUCCCGAACGGAAGCACGUACCUGCGGGUGAUGGCCGAGUCGAGAAACACGGUCGACGUUCGUGAUCGAGUUGGCGCCGUGCCGGAGCUAAUUCAAGGGAAUGCCGCCGCCUUCCAACCGGAGACGAGACUGUAUUAUGUGGCUGACAACCUGCGUAGCUUUCAAACAUGGUGGCUCCUUUUGGAAAAGGCUCGGAGUGGAGACCCCAACCGUGUCACUCGUGUCAUACAUAUGCACCUUACAAAGGGCUGCAAGCUUUACUACACAGAUGUGUUGGGUGUACAUUUGGUUUUAACAAAUUUGAGACCUUAUCUUUUUUUGUUGGGUUUGCAGCUUUUAUGUCAUUUUAAAUACAUAUGUGUAUGCUGUCAAUACACUAUAGAUUAACAUACACUAGUGUCAAAAACGCUUUUAUAUUAUAAAACGGAGGGAGUAGUCUGAUUUUCUCAACACGUAAUUUUUUUUAAACGGAGGCAAAAGAUUUGGCUCAUUCAUUAAUUAAGCAGAAAAGAACUGCCCAGUUAAUUAAUGAAAAACCAGGCGAAAAUCAUCACAAACUACUGAGUGACACCAAUGAAAGACCUACACGCGCCACUCACAAGAGGGCCUCGUCAAGACUGCACGUCGACAUCAUCGCCAUCACUUCUCCCCUAGAGGCAUCAUUGCCAUCUCAAACUAUGAGAAACGACUCCAACUUCACCUCAAGAGGGCCUCGUCAAGACCGCACCUCGAGCGUCAUCACCAUCACUUCUCCCCUAGAGGUGUCAUCGCCAUCCCAAACUCUGAAAAACAACUCUGACUUCGCCAAAGGCGAUCAUCAAACCAACCCACCCUGAAUAGGCCGUGCGGAAUCACAUGAAGAUCCACAUCGGACCUCAGCCACUACAACAAGAAAGCACAGCUCUAACACCAACAGAGAGCUACGAAUGAACCAAGCAGCUGUGAAGUCGAAGCUACAGUGGCAGGGCCCGGUGGCAUAUGCUGACGAGUAGGUGGUCCGUUCGGUGAUCUUCCUCAACACGUAGUAUGACUUCAGUGCACACGACACAGUAUAUGCCCCCAUGGAGACCGACAACAGAACAACAGUUCCACAAGCAUGAGCACACUUGAAUUCAGGUGAGAGUGUGACCACUCCCAUUCCUGUCACGUAGAAAGAAGAAAACUCCCGUUUCGUACAGAAAUUCCAUGAGAAGCAAAAUGGCGUCACGUCGUAUUAUUUGUAUUCUUCGUUCUACGAAUCAGCAAAACCAGAUCACGACUCGGACACGAUUCACAUGGAGCACCUAUCUCACGCUUUUUCGACGCUGUAGCCAGGCUGCCUCUCUUCCUCAUCACUUAUUUAAGACGCCUGUCUGGGUUAAAAAAUCGUGACCGAACAAUGACCGGCGGUAUGUAAGGCCUUCCACAGCGUAGCCGGUGCCAAAUACAUCAAAAGGCAGCCACCUCAUCACCGGUGCCCAAAAUUGCUUUUCAGGCAUCGAUCUCACAACGUAGGGCUUCGGCAGGAAAAAGAUUUUGGGACCCAUAUGAUAAACAAGUACACCACGCUGCUGUGUAUUGAGCAAAGAGAGAGAAGACAUUCGCUGUUCAAAGUUGAGAGUUAAUAGUAUUUUAUUGGCUGGAGGAAUUGGGCAUCGUGUUCUUACUUGCUCCGAUGCCAUGAAAAUUUUGUUGGGGCACCGGCCUCACAACGUGAGGGCACCGGCUAUCGGAGCCAGAAGUUAAUUUGGCACCUCUUUUGGCCUACAUAAUGGAAGGUCUAAGAGGUGGGUUUGAGAGAUCGGUUGUAGAUGCUCUUAAUAAGCUAGUACUAGAAGAAGAACAUGUAUAGGGGAGGAAGGGGACAUAAGUGAAUCCCGAACGAAAGCACGUACCUGCGGGUGAUGGCCGAGUCAAGAAACACGGUCGACGUUCGUGAUCGAGUUGGCGCCGUGCCGGAGCUAAUUCAAGGGAAUGCCGCCGCCUUCCAACCGGAGACGAGACUGUAUUAUGUGGCUGACAACCUGCGCAGCUUUCAAACAUGGUGGCUCCUUUUGGAAAAGGCUCGGAGUGGAGACCCCAACCGUGUCACUCGUGUCAUACAUAUGCACCUUACAAAGGGCUGCGAGCUUUACUACACAGAUGUGUUGGGUGUUCAUUUGGUUUUAACAAAUUUGAGACCUUAUCUUUUUUUUGUUGGGUUUGCAGCUUUUAUGUCAUUUUAAAUACAUAUGUGUAUGCUGUCAAUACACUAUAGAUUAACAUACACUAGUGUCAAAAACGCUUUUAUAUUAUAAAACGGAGGGAGUAGUCUGAUUUUCUCAACACGUAAGGGCUUCUUUGAUUCAAAGGAAUUGCAUAGGAUUUUUGGAGGAUUUGAAUCCUUAGGAAUUUUUCCUGUGAUGCUCGUUUGAUUCGUAGGAUUGGCAUCCUUAGGAAUUUUUCCAUAGGAUCCAUUUGUACUACAUUUUGGAGGAAAAUUUGCAUCCACUGAAACCUCUUUGUAGGAUUCCUUUGUUUUUCCUGCGCUAUCAAACAUUCUUUGAGAUCCUGUAGGAUACUAUGGGACAUGUCAUCCUAUUCCUGCAUUUUUCCUAUUCCUUCAUUUUGACAAUCCUGCGAAUCAAAGAGGCCCUAAAUUUUUUUUUAAACGGAGGCAAAAGAUUUGGCUCAUUCAUUAAUUAAGCAGAAAAGAACUGCCCAGUUAAUUAAUGAAAAACCAGGCGAAAAUCAUCACAAACUACUGAGUGACACCAAUGAAAGACCUACACGCGCCACUCACAAGAGGGCCUCGUCAAGACUGCACGUCGACAUCAUCGCCAUCACUUCUCCCCUAGAGGCAUCAUUGCCAUCCCAAACUAUGAGAAACGACUCCAACUUCACCUCAAGAGGGCCUCGUCAAGACCGCACCUCGAGCGUCAUCACCAUCAUUUCUCCCCUAGAGGUGUCAUCGCCAUCCCAAACUCUGAAAAACAACUCUGACUUCGCCAAAGGCGAUCAUCAAACCAACCCACCCUGAAUAGGCCGUGCGGAAUCACAUGAAGAUCCACAUCGGACCUCAGCCACUACAACAAGAAAGCACAGCUCUAACACCAACAGAGAGCUACGAAUGAACCAAGCAGCUGUGAAGUCGAAGCUACAGUGGCAGGGCCCGGUGGCAUAUGCUGACGAGUAGGUGGUCCGUUCGGUGAUCUUCCUCAACACGUAGUAUGACUUCAGUGCACACGACACAGUAUAUGCCCCCCUGGAGACCGACAACAGAACAACAGUUCCACAAGCAUGAGCACACUUGAAUUCAGGUGAGAGUGUGACCACUCCCAUUCCUGUCACGUAGAAAGAAGAAAACUCCCGUUUCGUACAGAAAUUCCAUGAGAAGCAAAAUGGCGCCACGUCGUAUUAUUUGUAUUCUUUGUUCUACGAAUCAGCAAAACCAGAUCACGACUCGGACACGAUUCACAUGGAGCACCUAUCUCACGCUUUUUCGACGCGGUAGCCAGGCUGCCUCUCUUCCUCAUCACUUAUUUAAGACGCC